CCUGAUUCUAUUAGUUACCGUUUCGUGGAGCGAGGAGAAGCUACACAAACAGAACGGGGUGAGUCUUCCAAGACUGCCACUGCAGAGGAUCAGAAUACUCUGGCUCGCAUUGAGUUUAUACUAGUGCAGAUAGAGCAGAGAAUGUUGCGAGUAGAGCAGGAUAUUUCUCAGAUGGAUGCUCUCUUUCAGCAUAUAGUCUCGUUGCUACCUUCCC
Molecule: unclassified non-coding RNA, 214 nt
Filed under: Hevea brasiliensis (rubber tree)
Lineage: Eukaryota; Viridiplantae; Streptophyta; Magnoliopsida; Malpighiales; Euphorbiaceae
Source: RNAcentral